AUGUGCCCAUCUCCGCCAACAGUGUUUGACUUUGACGUACAAGAACUAGACCAAGAAGAGAGAGAAGCGAAAGCCACCCUUCGAGCCAUGGACCCCGCGACGGCGGCCAUGGGCUCCCUCCUCCCCAAGCUGUUCGAGCUCCUCCACGGAGAAUACAAGCUGCAGAAGGGCGUGAAGAAAGAUGUACAAUUUCUCGAGAGGGAGAUGAGGAGCAUAGACGCCGCCCUCCGCAAAGUGGCCAUGGUGCCGCGCGACAAGCUCGACGACAACUCCAAGAUCUGGGCCAAUGAUGUCAGGGAGCUGGCAUACGAGAUGGAGGAUGUGGUUGAGCGCUUCAUGGUGGGCGUCCAGGGCUUUGAGCCCGCCGCUAACCCCGACGGCUUCAAAGGGUUCGUGAAGAAGGUGGCCAGCUUGUUCACAAAAGGCAAGGCGCGCCACCAGAUCGCCGAUGCAAUCAAAGGCAUCAAGGAUCAGGUCCAGCAGGUGGCGGAUCGACGCGACCGGUACAAGAUUGAUGAUGUUGAGACAACUCUACUAGCUGCUUCAACCAUGGUUGACCCUCUGGACCCUCGCUUGAUGGUUCAGUUCAAAGAUCAGAGAGAGCUUGUUGGCAUCGAGGGGCCAAGAGACGAGCUAAUCAAGAGGCUGGCAGGUGAAGAUGGUUGUGUGUCCAGGCAGCAGCUCAAGAUCCUCUCGAUCUUCGGAUUUGGAGGACUUGGCAAGACAACCCUUGCCAGAGCAGUUUACGACAAGAUACAAGCAGAAUUCGUAUGUAAGGCUUUUGUUUCGGUCGGUCAGAAGCCUAAUCUGAAGAAUGUUCUCGUAGGUAUUCUCCUCCGAAUUGACAAAGCCUCUUGUCACAAUGUUACAUUGUUAGAUGAGGUGCUGCUCAUUGAGAAACUCCGAGAACUGCUUACGAACAAGAGGUACCUUAUCAUAAUUGAUGAUAUAUGGGAUAUGAGUUCAUGGGAUAUAAUCAAAUGUGUUUUUACUGAUAGUAAGUGUGGAAGCAGAGUAAUCACAACUACUCGUAUCUUUGAAGUGGCAAAAGAGGCUGGUGACAUUUACAAGCAAGAACCUCUUUCUCCAGGUAGAUCGAAGGAAUUGUUCUGUAUGAGAUUGUCUAUUGGCAAAAGCAAAAGUCCUUAUCAUGAAUCAGUUAAGAUAUCUGAGAAGAUAUUGCAGAAAUGUGGUGGCAUACCGCUAGCUAUCAUUACAAUAGCUAGCUUGUUGGCUAGUAAACCAGUAACAGAUUGGCCUGGGGUCUAUGACUCUAUUGGUUUCGGGAAUGAAGAUAACAAAGAAGUGGAUACCACAAGAAAGAUAUUGCUAUAUAGCUACUAUGAUCUUCCAUAUUAUCCACGGCUUUGCCUAUUGCACCUAGGCAUAUACCCCGAAGAUUAUGAGAUAAAAAAGGACACUUUAAUUUGGAAGUGGGUGGCUGAAGGAUAUGUCCGUGAGGAACCAGGAAAAGGAUUAUUUGAGGUUGGAGAGAGAUACCUCAACAUGCUCAUAGACAGAAGCAUGAUCCAGGCAGUGGAGAGGCCAUAUCACAGCAUCAUAUAUGCUUGUCGUGUGCAUGAUUUGGUACUUGAUAUGAUUCAUUUUCUUUCAGAAGACGAAAGUUUUGUUACUGCAUCGAACAGUAACAUGACAUCUCCACGUACCACUUCUCGUAGGUUGGCCAUAAAUAAUGAAAUCAUAGAGCAGGAUGGAUCUGUCGCUAACAUGAGCAUGAAGCAGGUGAGGUUAUAUAGUGCCACCAUGUGUCACUUUAGUACGUUGCCAGUGCUUUCAAACUUUAAAGCUCUACGUGUGUUGGCUUUAGAAGACUGCACUUUCAUGGGAAGUGAGCGCUCUGUGAAGCCGGAAGAUUCUCCUUAUCAUCUUAAUUAUCUUGGGAGGCUGAUUCACCUGAGGUACCUUGGGUUCUCAGACCGGCUGGUUGGGUUCUCCCUGCCUGGGAUCUCCAUGCCGCUUAUCUUAGAGGUCCCUGAAGAAAUAGGGGAUUUAUGGUUUUUGCAAGUACUGGACUUGGGCAGAACUGGCAUUAAAAAACUGCCUCAAACUGUUGGUCGGCUAACGCAAUUGAAGUGCCUGCGCUUUGGCGGUUCCAGUAUGGAGGUGUUGGACUGCACGAAUUUAACAUCCCUAGAAGAGCUACAGUUGCACCUUGUCUCUCCAGAUUUUCUGAAAGGGCUUGCCAAGCUAAAGGAGUUGAGAAAGUUUAGCCUACACUUUGAAGAGGAGCACGGUAAUAUGUUGUUCAAAGAUUUGAUGGGACAUGUUGCCAAUCUACAAAAACUUCAAGUCAUAAUGGUUACUUGUAGGCAUCGACCGUAUCCUCAGCCUUGGUCCGAUUACACUGGCUCUGUGACCCUUGGGCACCUCCGUCAUCUGACAGUGAAUGGCCUGCUUCCUGGGCUACCAGUGUGGAUUAACUCCUCAUGCCUCCCGAACCUCUGCCACUUGUAUAUGGAACUGACGGCUAUGAAAUCGCAGGAUAUGGAGAUCCUCGGGAGAUUCUCAGAGCUCAUUACUCUCACCGUUCUUCUCUAUGAUUACAUGGCUUUUCCUAACGCCAUGGAGGAGGGUGCAUUCCCCAAGUUGAGAUACUUGGAACUGAAGAAUUUUAACCAACCCAGAUUUGUACUGGGAGCAAUGUCCAGCCUUGAGUGUUUUAGGAUAAUAAUCGGCCUGGAAGGGACCAAUGGCUGGGACUUCCAUAGCCUGGUGAACCUCCCUCGUCUUGAGAAAGUUGAUGCUGAAAUCCUAGGCAACACUACCAUGGGUAUCAACGAAGACGAGUUGCAGGCACAUGAGUCGUUGAAGCAGGCACAUGCAUCGUUGAAGCAUGCAGUUGAGAUCCAUCCCAAUCAUCCCGCACUCAAGUUGCAGAUUUAUCAUAGUUGA
RNAcentral lists this ribosomal RNA (2913 nucleotides) under Triticum aestivum (bread wheat). RNAcentral describes it as "partial small subunit ribosomal RNA". Lineage: Eukaryota; Viridiplantae; Streptophyta; Magnoliopsida; Poales; Poaceae. The record is from RNAcentral.